CUCGUACAGCAUCACCAGCACCAUCUACUGUAUCAGCGCAGCCGGCAUCCCAGCAGUCCUUUGGAGCAGCACCGAGUUUUCGCCAGGAGGACUGAUCGUCUGUGCCGCGUCAGGCUGAGCGGCGACAGCAGGCUCCGAGUGGCAGAGUUUACGCAGCUCAUGUGGAGGAUUCUUCAGCAGCCGACCGAGUGGUGGCAGGUAUC
Molecule: long non-coding RNA, 203 nt
Filed under: Ananas comosus (pineapple)
Lineage: Eukaryota; Viridiplantae; Streptophyta; Magnoliopsida; Poales; Bromeliaceae
Description: long non-coding RNA (ACOM_LNC039856)
Source: RNAcentral